GCAAAACAACCUCAGAAUGAGGACGGCGCAACUUUUACUCUUCUGUCUGCUGGUGUGCCAAACUAUGCAGAGUUUAACUGAUAAAUGGGUGAAUUUAGGGAAAAAUGUGAUUUUAGACUGUCAUCUUGGUAGAAAUGAUGUUUAUUGGGUUUUCCAGAAACUUUCAGAUUCUCCAAUAUUGAUUCUGCGAACUUUCACAACAGACUCUACAUCAUCUUUUAUACACGACGAAAGACUGAAAGACAAAUAUUCAUCACUGACUUGGAGCCGUUUAUUUAUUAGUAACAUAACUAUUAAUGAUUUAGGAAUAUAUUAUUGUGCAAAAACAGUCACAAUUCUACAGAUCAGCAAUGGCACCAGACUUCACACCAAUGAAUCUGCCCAAAAUCAAAACCAAACAGAACACGAGCAUCAGGAACAGCCAUGUGAGAAAACACUUGAGUUUCAUAAGAUUCUGACUGUUACAUCCAUCCUAAUGAACAUUGUGCUGAUUAUUGCAAUUAUAGGCUUAUUUCAGAUCAAACUCCAAGCGUGUAAAAAAAGACACCAACAAUGUCAAGAUGAGAAACUGGAGCAGCUUUACAGCACAAAUGAUGAAGAGUUUUCUGAAGUGGAGUUUCGUCUGUUUCACCCGACCAACAACACUUUUGUUCCUUUUCAAAGCCAAAGACAAGAUUUAGACAAAUAUAAUCAAGAGUAAAUCAUCUCAUACAGUCUAACAGAAGUAUAUUUUGAUAAAUAAUCAUGGGGAAAAAAAUUUGUUAGCUUGAUUGUUGUUUAAGAUUGACUGACGUGUAUUACCUGAACAUGUAAUGAAAUAUCAAUAUUGUUCUCAGCAUUACUUCUUUUUACUUUUCAGUAGCAAUAUAUUCAAGUAAUGUGAGGCAACAUAUAAUGUUUCCUAUGUUCUGAUUGGCUGGACUGGUUGUGGGAACCAUCUUUGGGAAAAAUUCAAUUGAAGUGUAAUUUUGAUUUAUUAUUUUGGCUCACAUGCCAUUGGUUUAGAAGGCGGGGUUUAUGAUCUGUAAUGCAGUCAGCCAGCAGAUGGCGAUGGAAAUGUUCUGGCUUCACUUUUCAGGAUGUGUGAGGCACACUUGUUUUGUACGGGUUAAAUAACCAUAGAUAUAUAUAUAAGCACUAGAUCUCUUAAGGCGGAGUCACUUCCGGCAUCAUAGGGCGGCCAUCUUGCCACAGGGAAGCUUUCUGGCAAGUUCUGAGGUAUCUGAGGUAUCUGAGUGAUCAGCACGAACAUAAAUCUUCUUAUCUCGCUGAAAUCUUGACGGAUUUACAAACGGUUUGGUUUCUUACAAACGUUAUUAACGUGGCUAUAAUUCUGAAUGCUGUAACAUGUUGAAAUUGCAGAUUGUUAUAAUUAUUCAUAUGUAUGCAGUGUCAUAACUACAUCUCUGACGUUGAUAACAAAUCAAACCGUUUGAAAAUCGGUAGAUAAUUGAGCAAGUUAUGGUUAUUUAAAAAGUACAUGCUUCAUACAACACAAUGUUACGAGUGAGCGAGCACCCUGUGGCAAGAUGGCCGCCGUGUGCGGACGUCGACCUCCAUUGGCCAACAGCGUGUACGAGGUAUCUAGUGUUUAUAUAUAUAUCUAUGUAAAUAACUGGAAGCCUGGCACAGUCAAGUCACAAACGGCCGUGCCCGCUCUUAUGCUAAAAAUAAGGUGGAUAAAUGCUCAUUUGUUUGCUCUAAAUUGUGUGUGCGUGUACAACUAUACCAUAUUCUGGGGACAAUUUUGCACCUAAGUGAGUUAAAUCUGAUGAAACCUCCUUCAAUCAUAAUUUGUAAAAAUGGUUUAAAAACAAAGUAGGUUAAAUUAAGUAUUUUAACAAUAUUAAUAUCUGUUCUGUAUAUAAAACAAUAUGCAACUUCCCAUUUGGAUUGGUAAGAAAAUGUUUGUGUCGGUGUGUGGUGUUAAUAUGCAGAUUGUAUGUUUAUGAGCUGUGUAAAUAAUUUAUUAAUGUAUUUCAUUGUCAAUCAAUAAUCUGUGUUGCAUAUUUGAUGGAUAAAACUUGACUUGGGUAAUGCUGAGUGCUGCUGUCACUCUUCUGAAGUUCACACUUCUGGUUUUUAUGUUUUUUAAUGUAUCUAUAUUUUCUUGCUGCAGUCGUCUGCUCCAAGUCUGUUUUUUUUUUUUUUUUUCACAUUUGUGGGUUAGUUGGCUUCAACUCUGGUCUGGUUGAUAUGUCAAGUUUGUGUACAAAGUCACACAUUGUGGAAAGUUCCAGCGCAUGGGCCUCUGGUAUUUUCGUCUUCGAUUUCAUCACUAUUAAGUGUGUUUGCUGGUUUCCUCUUUUAUUCUGCAGAAGCAGUUUUGCUCAGAUUGGUGUGAACUAUUUACUGUAUAUCCUCUAAACAACCACAGAAUGAGGACAGUGCAGCUUUUAGUCUUCGGUCUGCUGGUGUGUCAAAAUACAGAGCGUUUAACUGAUAAAUGGGUGAAAACGUGACUUUAGACUGUCAGAUUGGUGUAAGAGACAUUUACUGGGUUUUCCAGAAACUGACCGAUUCUCCGGAGCUGAUACUGCGAACUUUCUCAUUAGAUUCUACACGAUCUCACGUAGACCAAAGACUAAAAGACAAAUAUUCAUCACUAACUUUUAGCCAUUUACUUAUUAGGAAUGUAACUAUUAAUGAAUUAGGAAUAUAUUAUUGUGCAAAACUAAACAGAAGUCUACAGCUCUGAAAUGGCAUCAGACUUUACAUCACUGGUAAGUGUGUAUAAAUUUAUUUUGACAAAUCAGUUUGAUCUGUUGUUAUAUCUAUGAAUGAUCUAAAAGCAGUUAUCAUGUACAUAUUACAUUCAAUUUGUAUUUUAACCUUUAUUUCUAUCAGAGGUCUAUGCAAAACUGAUGCAUGUUAGGGAUUUCCAAACACUAAACCCUUGUAUUUUCUGUUCAGAAGAAGCUGCUCGAAAUCACAAUCAGACAGAACUGAAAAAUAACUCGCAAUGUCCGAAUACACAGCAAUCUCUCAUAAUUGUGUACUUCAUACCAAAUAUUGUGAUGUUUUUGGCAACAAUAGGCCUAUUUCAGUUCAAACUUCAAGAGUGUAAGAAAAGAUGUCAACGAUGUCGAGAUGAGAAACUGGAGCAUCUUUACAGCACAAAUGAUGACGAGUUUUCUGACGUUUCGUCUGUUUCACCCGACUAACAACACUUUUGUUCCUUUUCAAAAGCCAAAGACAAGAACUAGACAAAUAUAAUCAGGAGUAAAUCACCUCAUAGAGUCUAAUAGUACGUAUUGUAUAUUGUGCUAAAUAAUGAGUAAAAUAUUGUUAGCUUGACUGCUGUUAAAAAUUGACUGAUGUUUGUUACCUAAACAUGCAUGUAAUACAAAAUUUGCAAUGUUUUCAGGAUGACUUUGCUUUUGUUUUGAUAAUUAAGUCUUGUAAAUAAAAUCUUAAAUCUUAAUUCUAUAUGUUUAUAUCGAGUGGCUUCAUUCUUUGACUCUGGGCUUUUAUACACAUAAUGAUGUAAAAUCACGAAGGGGAAUGAAGAUUUUUUAAAUGUUUUUCAAAGUCAAAAAACAGGAAAAAGAAAUAUUAUGAACUACUGUAAUUUAAAUGAACUGUUUUAUGCGAUUUUUUAAUUUUUUUAAAUGUAAUUAAUAUAACUUGAAUUUAUGCAUUAGUUCAAAUAUUGUAAAGCUUGGUGUUAUAAUGUAAUAACGUAAGGUGACGUGAACAAUCUUUAUGUUUCCUGCGUCUUUAUUGACUGGAUGCUUGUUUACCUUAAGCGUGAAAUAUGUAAAUGCUUAUUUGUUUUUUUGUUUAUGUGUGGUGUUAAUAAUCAAAUUGUAAGUUUAUGUUUUAAGGGUUUAUUAACAUAUUUCAAUGCCAAUAAAUAGGCCUUCUGUAUUUGACAUAUAAAACUUAUGUAAUGCUG
This is a long non-coding RNA of Onychostoma macrolepis, 3898 nucleotides long. RefSeq lists it as uncharacterized. The record is from RefSeq and is a predicted model, not a curated record. The transcript has 8 exons. NCBI's taxonomy places the organism in Eukaryota, Metazoa, Chordata, Actinopteri, Cypriniformes, Cyprinidae.